RNAcentral lists this ribosomal RNA (228 nucleotides) under uncultured bacterium. RNAcentral describes it as "partial 16S ribosomal RNA". It matches the Rfam family "Bacterial small subunit ribosomal RNA", at positions 568 to 796 of the family's 1533-position model. The record is from RNAcentral.
UGCGUAGGCGGAAUAUUAAGUCAGUGGUGAAAUCCUGCGGCUCAACCGUAGAACUGCCAUUGAUACUGAUAUUCUUGAAUGUAGUUGAGGUAGGCGGAAUGUGUAUGUAGCGGUGAAAUGCUUAGAUAUUACACAGAACACCGAUUGCGAAGGCAGCUUACUAAACUAUGAUUGACGCUGAGGCACGAAAGCGUGGGGAGCGAACAGGAUUAGAUACCCUGGUAGUCC